Non-coding RNA from Mauremys mutica (yellowpond turtle), 369 nucleotides. Lineage: Eukaryota; Metazoa; Chordata; Testudines; Geoemydidae. The record is from the annotation of a RefSeq genome assembly.
AUGAGGAUUUGGCUCCAUUUCGUUUUCAUUGUAGCAGCUCUGGGAGGCGCGCGGUCCCAGGUGCAGCUGGUGGAGUCCGGAGGGGAUGUGAAAAAGCCCGGAGACUCUCUCCGCCUCUCCUGCAAAGCCUCCGGGUUCACCUUCGGUGACUACUGGAUGAGCUGGGUCCGGCAGGCUCCUGGCAAGGGCCUGGACUGGGUCGCACGUAUAAGCUACUGGGCCGGCAGCACUGUGCGUUACGCCGACGCGGUCAAAGGCCGAUUCACCAUCUCCAGAGACAACCCCAACAACCUGCUGUAUCUGCAACUGACCGGCCUGAAGCCCGAGGACACCGCCCGCUAUUACUGUGCGAGAGACACAGUGAGGCGA